GACGAACGCUGGCGGCGUGCUUAACACAUGCAAGUCGAACGGAAGGGCCCUGCUUUUGUGGGGUGCUCGAGUGGCGAACGGGUGAGUAACACGUGAGUAACCUGCCCUUGACUUUGGGAUAACUUCAGGAAACUGGGGCUAAUACCGGAUAGGAGCUCCUGCUGCAUGGUGGGGGUUGGAAAGUUUCGGCGGUUGGGGAUGGACUCGCGGGUUAUCAGCUUGUUGGUGGGGUAGUGGCUUACCAAGGCUUUGACGGGUAGCCGGCCUGAGAGGGUGACCGGCCACAUUGGGACUGAGAUACGGACCAGACUCCUACGGGAGGCAGAAGUGGGGAAUAUUGCACAAUGGGCGGAAGCCUGAUGCAGCAACGCCGCGUGCGGGAUGACGGCCUUCGGGUUGUAAACCGCUUUCGCCGGUGACGAAGCGUGAGUGACGGUAAUGGGUAAAGAAGCACCGGCUAACUACGUG
This 468-nucleotide ribosomal RNA is filed under the name uncultured bacterium. RNAcentral's name for it is "partial 16S ribosomal RNA". It matches the Rfam family "Bacterial small subunit ribosomal RNA", at positions 28 to 507 of the family's 1533-position model. The record is from RNAcentral.